RNAcentral lists this small nucleolar RNA (103 nucleotides) under Chelydra serpentina (North American snapping turtle). RNAcentral's name for it is "Small nucleolar RNA SNORA17 (ENSCSRG00000019608.1)". It matches the Rfam family "Small nucleolar RNA SNORA17". From Rfam's summary of the family: snoRNA ACA 17 belongs to the H/ACA family of snoRNAs and is predicted to guide pseudouridylation of the 28S rRNA at positions U4659 and U4598. It shares the same host gene together with ACA43. NB This family has a high threshold value to exclude a large number of closely related sequences that do not appear to have conserved H and ACA boxes, and may be pseudogenes. The record is from Rfam by way of RNAcentral. Lineage: Eukaryota; Metazoa; Chordata; Testudines; Chelydridae.
UAUGCACCUUUUGACAUCAUUAGGUUGCAGAGAGCGAGGGUCUAUGUCUACAUUCUGUGUUCUGAAACCCAUGAGCACUCAGAAUGAUUAAUAGCCUGACAUC